GAAUCAUCGAAUCUUUGAACGCACAUUGCGCCCGCCAGCACUCUGGCGGGCAUGCCUGUUCGAGCGUCAUUUCAACCAUCAAGCCCCAGGCUUGCGUUGGAGCCCUGCGGCUGCCGCAGCCUCCCAAAAGCAGUGGCGGGCUCGCUAUCACACCGAGUGCAGUAGAUUACUCUUCGCUCAGGGCGUGUGGCGGGUUCCAGCCGUGAAACCCCCUACUUCUCAAGGUUGACCUCGGAUCAGGUAGGAAUACCCGCUGAACUUAAGCAUAUCAAUAAGCGGAGGAAAAGAAACCAACAGGGAUUGCCCUAGUAACGGCGAGUGAAGCGGCAACAGCUCAAAUUUGAAAUCUGGCUCCGGCCCGAGUUGUAAUUUGCAGAGGAAGCUUCUGGUGAUAUACCGUCUAAGUCCCCUGGAACGGGGCGCCACAGUGGGUGAGAGCCCCAUUUGACGGAUGUAGAUCCUGUGUGAAGCUCCUUCGACGAGUCGAGUAGUUUGGGAAUGCUGCUCAAAAUGGGAGGUAAAUUCCUUCUAAAGCUAAAUAUUGGCCAGAGACCGAUAGCGCACAAGUAGAGUGAUCGAAAGAUGAAAAGCACUUUGAAAAGAGGGUUAAACAGCACGUGAAAUUGUUGAAAGGGAAGCGCUUGUGACCAGACUUGCGCUGGGCUGACCAUCCGGUGUUCUCACCGGUGCACUCGGCCCAGCUCAGGCCAGCAUCGGUUUUGGCGGGGGGAUAAAGGCGCUGGGAACGUGGCUCCCCCGGGAGUGUUAUAGCCCAACGUGCAAUGCCCCCGCUGGGACCGAGGUUCGCGCAUCUGCAAGG
RNAcentral lists this ribosomal RNA (820 nucleotides) under uncultured Podospora. RNAcentral's name for it is "eukaryotic LSU rRNA". The stretch from base 227 to 820 matches the Rfam family "Eukaryotic large subunit ribosomal RNA", at positions 1 to 608 of the family's 3401-position model. Lineage: Eukaryota; Fungi; Ascomycota; Sordariomycetes; Sordariales; Lasiosphaeriaceae. The record is from RNAcentral.